Molecule: ribosomal RNA, 121 nt
Organism: Cercocebus atys (sooty mangabey)
Lineage: Eukaryota; Metazoa; Chordata; Mammalia; Primates; Cercopithecidae
Source: Ensembl
GUCUGUUAGCCAUAUCACCAUGAAUGCGCCCUAUCUCAUCUGAUCUUAUGAACUUAAGCAGGGUCAGGCCUGAUUAGUGCUUGGAAGGGAGACUUCAAGGGAAUACUGGAUGCUGUAGGCU